Molecule: transfer RNA, 89 nt
Filed under: candidate division WWE3 bacterium CG_4_10_14_0_2_um_filter_41_14
Lineage: Bacteria; candidate division WWE3
Also listed under: 1 other name
Description: tRNA-Leu
Rfam family: tRNA
About the family: Transfer RNA (tRNA) molecules are approximately 80 nucleotides in length. Their secondary structure includes four short double-helical elements and three loops (D, anti-codon, and T loops).
Source: RNAcentral
GCCGGAGUGCUGGAAUUGGCAGACAGGCUAGGCUCAGAACCUAGUGUCCAGUAAUGGACGUGCGAGUUCAAAUCUCGCCUUCGGCACCA